CAACGAAUUACCUAUUUGAAAAAUAGAAUAUGGUUAAAAAUUGCUGAUGUGAUAGAGGAUUCAAGUACCAUUUACAAACAAAAUAUUGAAGAGAAUGUGCUCAAAAGGAAAUUCAUAUGAAUUCUUUUUUGUUGACCAGGAUGGAAAAAGUCAUUGGAACCCAUAGUUAGAAUAAGAAUAAGUUAGGCCUAGAGGUGUACCAGCCAGAAGUAGAGGAUGACAAAGAAAAUCAACUAUGAAU
Molecule: long non-coding RNA, 241 nt
Organism: Nilaparvata lugens (brown planthopper)
Lineage: Eukaryota; Metazoa; Arthropoda; Insecta; Hemiptera; Delphacidae
Exons: 3
Source: RefSeq, a predicted model, not a curated record